CCCUUAGAUGUUCUGGGCCGCACGCGCGCUACACUGAAGGGAUCAGCGUGUUUUCCCUUCCCGAGAGGGACGGGUAACCCGCUGAACCCCCUUCGUGGUAGGGAUCGGAGCUUGCAAUUGUUCUCCGUGAACCCGGAAUUCCCAGUAAGCGCAAGUCAUAAGCUUGCGUUGAUUACGUCCCUGCCCUUUGUACACACCGCCCGUCGCUACUACCGAUUGAACGUUUUAGUGAGGUAUUUGGACUGGGCCUUGGGAGGUUUCGGCCUCCCUUGUUGCUCGGAAAGACUCCCAAACUUGAGCGUUUAGAGGAAGUAAAAGUCGUAACA
This 326-nucleotide ribosomal RNA is filed under the name uncultured eukaryote. Its description in RNAcentral is "partial 18S ribosomal RNA". It matches the Rfam family "Eukaryotic small subunit ribosomal RNA", at positions 1470 to 1796 of the family's 1831-position model. The record is from RNAcentral.